GAUGAGAUGGAAUCCAUGGGAUCCAUGGGAUGGGGUGGGGUCCAUGAGAUCCAUGGGAUGGGAUGGGAUCCAUGGGAUCAAUGGGAUGGGAUGGGAUCCAUGGGAUGGGAUGGGAUCCAUGGGAUCCAUGGGGUGGGGUGUCAGUGCCAGGACAGUUUUCCCCCUCACCCCACAGCCAUAAAAGGAGCCAAUUAAACCCCUACAAUAAACAAUGCACAAACCAAUACAAAAACCAAUAAAAUCCCAUAAAAACCAGGAUUUCGGAGUGACCAAAGGGACCUUUGAUUCCCAAAUCCCUCUGCAAACAGGGCCUGAUUCCAGCUGGCUUGGAUGGAGGGAAUUCUCCAAAGGAUGGGAAUCCUCCAGCAGGACAAUCCCUUAUCCUGGGAAGAGCUCUGGGAUGUCCCUCCCAGGGAGGGACAGGGGGUGGCCCCGGUGGCUCCAGCUGUCCCUGCCCAGGGGAUCCCUGCAGGCACAGCCACGCUCCAGCCAGGAUAAUCCCGCUGAUCCCAAAAAACCCCUCCGGGCUAUUUCUGGGACAACACAAACCAAACAACAACUGCCGGGACCCAGGGCCACCCUGGGCUUUCGUCUCCGUGGGCUCAGCUCUGCUCCUGCUCCUCCCAGGGACAGCAGCUCCCACGAAUCCAGUGUGGAUUUGCUGGAAUUUUCUCGGCUGCUGAGGGCCCAGCUGCCAGGCCGGGCUUUGUCCCCAACCCAGGGGUUUGUUGGCUUUGCCUUUGCUGCUGGAGAGGGUCAGAUCCAGGGAUAUCAGAGGUCAGAUCCAGGGAUAUCAGAGGGUCAGAUCCAGGGAUAUCAGGGGUUCAGAUCCAGGGAUAUCAGAGGGUCAGAUCCAGGGAUAUCAGAGGGUCAGAUGCAGGGAUAUCAGGGGGUCAGAUCCAGGGAUAUCAGGGGUUCAGAUCCAGGGAUAUCAGGGGGUCAGAUCCAGGGAUAUCAGAGGGUCAGAUCCAGGGAUAUCAGGGGUUCUGAUCCAGGGAUAUCAGGGGGUCUGAUCCAGGGAUAUCAGAGGGUCAGAUCCAG
Long non-coding RNA from Serinus canaria (Common canary), 1041 nucleotides. RefSeq lists it as uncharacterized. NCBI's taxonomy places the organism in Eukaryota, Metazoa, Chordata, Aves, Passeriformes, Fringillidae. The record is from RefSeq and is a predicted model, not a curated record. The transcript is spliced from 5 exons.